GAGUUUGAUCGUGGCUCAGAUUGAACGCUGGCGGCAUGCCUUACACAUGCAAGUCGAACGGCAGCACGGGAGCUUGCUCCUGGUGGCGAGUGGCGAACGGGUGAGUAAUGCACCGGAACGUAUCCUGGAGUGGGGGAUAACGUAGCGAAAGUUACGCUAAUACCGCAUAUUCUGUGAGCAGGAAAGCGGGGGACCUUCGGGCCUCGCGCUCUUGGAGCGGCCGAUGUCGGAUUAGCUAGUUGGUGAGGUAAAGGCUCACCAAGGCGACGAUCCGUAGCAGGUCUGAGAGGAUGAUCUGCCACACUGGAACUGAGACACGGUCCAGACUCCUACGGGAGGCAGCAGUGGGGAAUUUUGGACAAUGGGGGCAACCCUGAUCCAGCCAUGCCGCGUGAGUG
This 398-nucleotide ribosomal RNA is filed under the name bacterium enrichment culture clone ALO1_GLFRUDD03HC4BD. RNAcentral's name for it is "bacterial SSU rRNA". It matches the Rfam family "Bacterial small subunit ribosomal RNA", at positions 9 to 407 of the family's 1533-position model. The record is from RNAcentral.